RNAcentral lists this non-coding RNA (91 nucleotides) under marine sediment metagenome. RNAcentral also lists the same sequence under 1 other name. The record is from RNAcentral.
CCCGUACAGUGAUGUGCGGCUAAACUCUCAGAAGUCAGCAGAGGCCAUAGUGCUCUGGUAGUCAUGAAUACUAGAAUACUAGAGGAAGGGC